AACGAACGCUGGCGGCGCGCCUAAUACAUGCAAGUCGAGCGAGAAGGUGUAGCAAUACACUUGUAAAGCGGCGAACGGGUGAGUAAUGCAUCGGAACGUGCCCAGUCGUGGGGGAUAACGCAGCGAAAGCUGCGCUAAUACCGCAUACGAUCUAUGGAUGAAAGCGGGGGACCGUAAGGCCUCGCGCGAUUGGAGCGGCCGAUGUCAGAUUAGGUAGUUGGUGGGGUAAAGGCUCACCAAGCCAACGAUCUGUAGCUGGUCUGAGAGGACGACCAGCCACACUGGGACUGAGACACGGCCCAGACUCCUACGGGAGGCAGCAGUGGGGAAUUUUGGACAAUGGGCGCAAGCCUGAUCCAGCAGUGCCGCGUGCAGGAAGAAGGGCCUUCGGGUUGU
This 396-nucleotide ribosomal RNA is filed under the name uncultured bacterium. RNAcentral describes it as "bacterial SSU rRNA". It matches the Rfam family "Bacterial small subunit ribosomal RNA", at positions 29 to 426 of the family's 1533-position model. The record is from RNAcentral.